Molecule: ribosomal RNA, 392 nt
Filed under: uncultured Gammaproteobacteria bacterium
Lineage: Bacteria; Pseudomonadati; Pseudomonadota; Gammaproteobacteria
Description: bacterial SSU rRNA
Rfam family: Bacterial small subunit ribosomal RNA
Source: RNAcentral
AAUGCAGGAAACUGUGAUCCAGGUAUGUCGUGUGAGUGAUGAAGGCUUAAUUGUCGUAAAACUCUUUCAGGGAAGAAGAAAAUGACGUUAUCUACAAAAGAAGCACCGGCUAAUCCCGUGCCAGCAGCCGCGGUAAUACGGGAGGUGCAAGCGUUGUUCGGAAUAACUGGGCGUAAAGGGCGUGUAGGCGGUUAACUAAGUCUGAAAUUAAAUCCUAGGGCUCAACCCUAGACAUGUUUUAGAUACUAGUGAACUAGAGAUUGUAAGAGGUAAGUGGAAUGACUGUAGUAGAGGUGAAAUUCGUAGAUAACAGUUGGAACACCAAAGGCGAAGGCAACUUACUAGCACAAUACUGACGCUAAGACGCGAAAGCACGGGUAGCAGACAGGAUU